UCUCUUCGCUUUUCUGUGAACUAAACAAAACUAAAUCUAUAACAACUCCUUAGUAUGUGAUUAUUUAAUGUGUAAGUGAUUGUU
Non-coding RNA from Callorhinus ursinus (northern fur seal), 84 nucleotides. The record is from RefSeq and is a predicted model, not a curated record. NCBI's taxonomy places the organism in Eukaryota, Metazoa, Chordata, Mammalia, Carnivora, Otariidae.